GAACGAACGCUGGCGGCAUGCCUAACACAUGCAAGUCGAACGCUUCUACUUCGGAGAGGAGUGGCGCACGGGUGAGUAACGCGUGGAAACCUGCCCCGGAGUGGGGGAUAACCCGGCGAAAGCCGGGCUAAUACCGCGAUACGGCCCACGGGCGAAAGAUUCAUCGCUCUGGGAGGGGUCCGCGUCCGAUUAGCUAGUUGGCGGGGUAAUGGCCCACCAAGGCGACGAUCGGUAGCUGGUCUGAGAGGAUGAUCAGCCACACUGGGACUGAGACACGGCCCAGACUCCUACGGGAGGCAGC
This 301-nucleotide ribosomal RNA is filed under the name uncultured bacterium. RNAcentral's name for it is "bacterial SSU rRNA". It matches the Rfam family "Bacterial small subunit ribosomal RNA", at positions 27 to 352 of the family's 1533-position model. The record is from RNAcentral.